UUCUUCCUGCACCUAUAAAAGAUGGUGGGCUAGAAAUCCCUCAUUGAGAACCAUUAUUCCUGAGCUCACAAAUAUAAGACUCAAUAACCUGCAAACAUCUAAUUACCCGCUUGCGCGUGUGGCCUGGGCCACUCGCAGAGUCCAACACAAGAUCAACUGGGCUUCAAAGAUGUUGGAACGUCUAAGGAUCCCCGCCGAUGGACCUAGGUCCAAUCGAAAGGGCUACUGGACGCGAAAACUUCAUGACAGUCGACGGGUACGAGUUAAGAGAAUGUUCGCGUUCUACUAGCUCCACUAGAUGGAUUGCAGCAGGUGCAUCCCAGGGCGGCAUUACAUCCAACACGUACAUGUCCCGAUCAACAGCUUACCUAGCCGAAUAAGAACAUCUCGAGGAGCUAGGAGAAACAUCUCGAGGGAAGAGCCCCCAGGAAGUCGCAUUUACAUCAGCGACCAUUUCCUGGCGUGGAGUUUGGUCCCCCAGAUCAUACGCUGAUCUUAUUUCAUUUGGAAUCCCCCCCCGGAAUUUUAAAUGGAAUAGUGACGCGUGUGCUUCAGGGUUCACACACGAACUGGAACCGCUUUAACCAGAUGACUUUGGCGCGGCGGAUGUUCUAGUGUUUGCAUUCGAGUGCGAAUCAGCAGUCAGGUGAGAGCGACCACAUUUUCGCCCGACUUCGGUCACUUCAAAAUUGUGGUUGCUGGAGGUUGACAGGCAGCCUCCAGCUUCCACCAGUCGCAAAUAUAAAAAAAAUAAAUAAAAAAAAAAUAAAAAUAAAAUAGCCAAUUGCUUGGUCAUCUAAUUAUUGACGCGCAUGAAUGGAUUAACGAGAUUCCCUCUGUCCCUAUCUACUAUCUAGCGAAACCACGGCCAAGGGAACGGGCUUGGAAAAAUCAGCGGGGAAAGAAGACCCUGUUGAGCUUGACUCUAGUCUGGUACUGUUAGAAAACAUGAGAGGUGUAGCAUAAGUGGGAGGUAGUUUUUUUAAACUGCCGACAAUGAAAUACCACUACUUUCAUUGUUUCCUUACUUACUCGGUGAUGCGGAGGGCGUCCGUCGGGGUGAUACCACCUCGGCGUGACGGUAUUCUCGUGCCAAACGCCAAGGGUUGUCGACGUUCGAUCGUACGCCUUGUCGCGUUUAAGAUGUGGAUAUUCCUAAACGGAAUUGAUGCGUCUUAUUCGUUGUGCAAUGGCGGUUUCGGUCGUAUCGUUCGGCAACAUACUCCCUAGCGUGAUCCGAUUCGAGGACACUGCCAGGCGGGGAGUUUGACUGGGGCGGUACAUCUGUCAAAAAAUAACGCUGGUGUCCUAAGGUCAGCUCAGCGAGGACAGAAACCUCGCGUAGAGCAAAAGGGCAAAUGCUGGCUUGAUCCCGAUGCUCAGUGGGCAUAGGAACUGCGAAAACGCUGCCCAUCUAUCCUUUUGGCUUGAAGAGUUUUCAGCAAGAGGUGUCAGAAAAGUUACCACAGGGAUAACUGGCUUGUGGCGGCCAAG
Molecule: non-coding RNA, 1494 nt
Filed under: Rhodnius prolixus
Lineage: Eukaryota; Metazoa; Arthropoda; Insecta; Hemiptera; Reduviidae
Description: Eukaryotic large subunit ribosomal RNA
Rfam family: Eukaryotic large subunit ribosomal RNA
Source: Rfam by way of RNAcentral